CGUAGGGACCGAGCGUUGUCCGGAUUUAUUGGGCGUAAAGAGCUCGUAGGCGGCCCUUCGCGUCGGAUGUGAAAGCUCAGGGCUUAACCCUGAGAGGCCAUUCGAUACGGGAGGCUAGAGGUAGGUAGGGGAAAGUGGAAUUCCUGGUGUAGCGGUGAAAUGCGCAGAUAUCAGGAGGAACACCAAUGGCGAAGGCAGCUUUCUGGGCCUUACCUGACGCUGAGGAGCGAAAGCUGGGGGAGCGAACAGGAUUAGAUACCCUGGUAGUCCCAGCCGUAAACGUUGGGUGCUAGGUGUGGGGAGGUCUUCAACCCUCUCUGUGCCGAAGCUAACGCAUUAAGCACCCCGCUGGGGAGUACGGCCGCAAGGCUA
This 372-nucleotide ribosomal RNA is filed under the name uncultured organism. RNAcentral describes it as "bacterial SSU rRNA". It matches the Rfam family "Bacterial small subunit ribosomal RNA", at positions 526 to 896 of the family's 1533-position model. The record is from RNAcentral.